AUUAAUAAUUAUAUUUUUCAAACUUAAAGAAUUUGGCGGUGAUUUAGUCUUGUUAGAGGAACCUGUUUUUUAAUCGAUACGCCACGUAAAAUCUUACUCAUUUUAUAAGGUUUAUAUACCGUCAUUAUUAGAUAAUUUUAAGAAAAGUAAUUAUUAAAGUUUAGAUUGAAUCAAAUGAAAUUAGAUCAAGGUGUAGCUAAUAAAUGAGUUAAAAUGGGUUACAAUAAAUUUUAUUUAAUACGGAUAAAUUGUAAAGGAAGGAGAAUAAUGAAGGAGGAUUUAAUUGUAAUGUAAGUUUAAUAAGCUUUAAAGAUAUAAGCUCUAGAUCAA
Molecule: ribosomal RNA, 330 nt
Filed under: Linnaeoxantho acanthomerus
Lineage: Eukaryota; Metazoa; Arthropoda; Malacostraca; Decapoda; Linnaeoxanthidae
Description: partial large subunit ribosomal RNA
Source: RNAcentral